Molecule: long non-coding RNA, 347 nt
Organism: Ananas comosus (pineapple)
Lineage: Eukaryota; Viridiplantae; Streptophyta; Magnoliopsida; Poales; Bromeliaceae
Exons: 3
Source: RefSeq, a predicted model, not a curated record
CAAUCCUCAGAGGUAGACCGCGAGUAAGAAGACCCCGUAAUCCAAGCUUCUUCACGGCCUGCAAAGUUUCAAAAACAAAAAGGAUUCAGGUCAAACUUAAUGAACUUAAAAAUAGAAACAAUAUAUGAGUAAAUGAUGCGGCUUACAUCUCCGACGGUGGCCCCCUUUGAAUUGUUGAGAAAUGAGACAAGGUUGUCAGCUGGGUGAGAAAUGACGGCGCAAAGGACUCCAGCGAUGUAGCCGCCUCCAAAGCUCACAGCAAGCUGGAAAGAUUGAACGAUCUUCGGGAGCCCAUCCAUCAACCCUCUGGCAAAGCCUGGCUGUGUUUGGAUCCUCACCUUCACGGC